RNAcentral lists this long non-coding RNA (263 nucleotides) under Lathyrus oleraceus (garden pea). RNAcentral describes it as "Pisum sativum (pea) long non-coding RNA (PSAT_LNC033276)". The record is from RNAcentral. Lineage: Eukaryota; Viridiplantae; Streptophyta; Magnoliopsida; Fabales; Fabaceae.
UAUUCAAUCCCUUGAUACCUCGAAAGCACGAAAGCCGCUGCUAUCUUCUUUCCAGGUCUCUAGUUGAUUGAAUAGGGGCAGCUGUAAUACCCCAAAAUUUACCCUUCAUUUUUCCUGGAAAAAUACGCUUUACACCUCAUGCAUGCAUUCAUUUUUAGGUCAUUUAACAUUAGAUACAUUGCAUUUCAUCAUGUCAAUCAGAAUUAGAUCCAAGAAACUUUAUUUAAAAAAAAUAAAAUAAAAAAAAUAAAAUUAAAAUUAAA